RNA transcript from Cephus cinctus (wheat stem sawfly), 4556 nucleotides. RefSeq lists it as uncharacterized. Lineage: Eukaryota; Metazoa; Arthropoda; Insecta; Hymenoptera; Cephidae. The record is from RefSeq and is a predicted model, not a curated record. The transcript is spliced from 7 exons.
CUCGAUCACAGCGACGCUUGUGACUAAAAUUUAAAAUGUGCCGUGCUUCAAAACCACGUCUACCCCCACCGCUGACAAUUGGGCGAGUUGCAAGGCCUGCAUGUAAGACCGUGUCCGAGGGUGUAUCGUCAAGCCAGAGAACAAUGGAGCAGUGUACUGGGUUACGAUACAGAAGGUAGGCACGGCACGGUAGACAUAACAGAAGAGAAUAGAAACACAGCACGGCGCGGCAUGUCACGAAUGUUCUGCCUCGCCGGCUCCUAGUAGAAUGCGGUUGACAUUUCUCGGCAAGUAGAGCGUUACCCGCUCGACCAAUCACAGUGCCCGAUUAGAAUAUGGAAUAUUGAAAUAAGUGUCGUGCGCGUAACUCCGUUGCGAACGAUGAAAAGUGAGAUCGGUAUAAAAAGGUAGGGCAGACUGCGGCAUGAAUGAGAGAAGAAAGUAUAAUGGAGGGACGAAAUAUGUCGAUCGGAAAGAGCUGUCCAUUCGUACGAGCUCGUUGUGUCAGCAUUGUCCUGGAUACCAGAAAAAUCUACAAUGAAGACCCUACUCGAUAUGGAGUUUUGACCUCAAGGGCCAGCCAGGAAAGGUGUUUGUCCGACGCACGGCUGCUGUCUGCAUAGAAAGUGGAUGCCAUCACGUUACAUGCGAGGGUGCCGAGUUUGACAAUAUUUCACUGAAGGAUUUAAAUGCUGUUACGGAUCCACCCACUGAACGAAGGAAAAAAAUUAGACUCGUUUAAGGUCGCCCGAUCUCGACGACGCUGAACCAAAGGUCCCAAGUCUAAACGAUCCCUUGGGAAAUUAUAGGUCGAGUAUAAAUAACAGGUCUUACCUCGAUGGAAGAUUUUCGAUAACGAGUAAAGAAUCGCUCAGCACGCGAAGAUGCAUACCUACCUGUAUACGUACCCAAGUGCACGUAGCCACGUGUCUAAUGACUUCGUUUGCUGUUAAUCCUUUUUCGAAUAAUCAAGCAGACCACCGAAAAUUUAUUUGAACAAAUUCUCAAAGUUAUUAUUAUUAUUAUCCACGUUCCUGUUACGCACAGAAACAGAAGUUAAGGUAUUACUGUAUUUCUAUGCUGACUUGUUAGUUCCGUAUACUACCACUGUCACUGUCGCUACAUGCAAAUGACGUAUGAACCGUCAUUCGGGGUUCGAACCGCGACGAUACUCCCCGCUCAUGCAGCAGAUCAGUAUCUGAUAUUUAUUUAUGUGAAUAGUACCCUCGCAUACAAAUCAAACAAAUACUAAGUGUGCUCAGAGACUCAAGCCUACCGUGACACUGCCCUGGGCUCGGUUCAGUUGCCACGCGAAAUUACAUGGCGCUAAGGAUAACACUACCGACGAAUACAGAUCUUCUCCCGGAGCAUAAGGAGGCUUCUUGACAAUUAUAAAUAAAAAUAAUAUUGGACUCGGUCAAUUGUUACGAAACAGCUGAAUUUUCAUGCCUGGGUUCUUAAAGCGAUGAAAAAAUGUUCAUUCCAGGAAUUACGUAAAACUUAUAGGUUAAUCGGUACUUUUCAAGCUGUGAAUAUUAAGGGAGAAAGCAGUAUAGGCAACAGAGUCCACAGAAGGAUAUACGUAGGUAUAUCGUAAAGGAUCAACACGUAGUAUACGUACGUUGACGUCGAGCAGUCGAGUAGCUGGGUUAGCAACCUUUAUUUGCAUACCGUAUUAUUUUCUGCUUGCAAAGCUGCACAACCGUCCCGAUCAGAAGGUAGGUUACCUAUAGAAGGUAGAGGCUAAGUCUGCUGCACGAUGCAUCUGAAAGAGUCCCGUCAUCGGCAUUGCUGUUACGCCAGCAACCAUCUAGCCGUUGUCCACGAAGUUCAGCCGUUCUUACCUGCACGUAAAUAUUCUCCUCGCCGUCGGCCAUCAUCCUGGAGACAUCGUAUUGUGGAUCCUCCUUCUAGCAAUCGACCAAGGGUACCCAUAACCUUAAAGGACUGCCUAUUGAUUGCCAUACCUUAUACAGCAUCCAUGGAGUACCCUUUACACCCAUCCCAAGAGGAUUCCACAGAAUAUAUUUCUUUUAUUUGGACUAAUAUGGCGCGAGGAUGCGGUACUUUCGUGAAGGACAUUACCAUUUAAGGGACACGGAUGCAUGUAAGCUACUUUACCGAUUACCUAACUGAUAUCAAGGAUUGACUUUACAUUGAUGCACCGUCCAAGUCUUGACCUAAAGUAGCGCUAAGGAGGUCCAGCAAUUCUCAAGUUAUCCAGUACCUUGUAAAAAAUACAUAUUUCUGUCAUUGUGCCAGAUGCAAUUAAUUGAAACGAUCGGAGUAAGCAGAUUAAUUAAAAGAGCCAGGGAGGGCAUACAAAAAAACGAAGAAUCAUAAACAUAAAUUACAAAAAGUCUGAGGCCGCGGGUCAAGCAUUCAUUUCGCUCAUCAGGCAUUCUCAUAUAAGUUAGAAAGUUCUACUAAAAAUAUUAAACGACUCUUAACGAAAGCAACGUUCACGGAAGUAACGACGUUCAAGAAAUUUUCAACGAUUCGUUUACGGAAGACGGUACUCUGACGUUUACAAUCGAUGAAAAAGAGAAUUGAUUUGACUGUCGAACAUGCAAGGUAAAUACCUUGACUGUAUAGUUCAAUGCCAUCGAGUCAUCGGAAGGCGUUUGAUUCAUUCAAUAUUUGUAAUCAAUAUACCGUCAUCGAUCAAAAAUUAGACAACUGAUUCCAAAGAGAAUUCCUUUCGUUAGCCCGAGGGUAGGUAUCGAACCCUCUUCUAAACGUGAACGAAAUUUCUCACACCUUCCAUAUCUCUUGGUGCGAACGCUUUCUAACGAACGUUAACAGGCCGCGCGAGUGUAUCAUUAAUUACCGUGUGGUGAGAGACGUGAAAUCAUGCUUAAUAGACACUAGACUCGGAGUUCGCAACACGUCGAUUCCGCGUGGAUAAAUAUUUAUACCACCGCAACGAAUACUAUUUAUUAUUAAUGAACCCGUCUCGAAUCGUAGAAUUAUUUACUUCCGUCAUUCGCUGCAUGGCCAUCGAUUGUACUUGGUUAUUCUUGAAUUACAAUAUAACGAUGAUCAUAACAAUAACAAUUGGCACCUCAGUUGUUCAAUAUGGCAUACAGAUACGUGAAUUAUCCUGGUUAAUAUUCGGCAACGCUAUUAGUACCAGCACUAGCGUGCUGUACUGAUGUACAUUACGCAUAGAGUUAUUCAGUAAAAACGCACCACCUGAAUAUGGUUCUACCAUAGAAAUUAAAUGGACGGGCUAACUUCAGGUGGUGCGUUUCUACUGAAUAACCCUGUACAGAGAUAGCAGGGUACAUUUAGUAGGAAAUAAAUUAAAAUUUUGAUCUCGGUUAAUUAUACCUGCUACAGUGGCCUCUUCCGUGAGUUUGGCAUUACCGACGGCAGUGACGGAUUCAUAUUCACAGCAGCUGAGUCUCUAAUUACCAUCCGAGAUAUUACUUAUCUAAGUCCGCGUAUCAUUAGUAUCAAUGAAAUAGUACUGGAUGACUGUAUAAAAGUUACAAGAAUGUUAAUAACAUUCUACCAUUAGACGCUGUCGUGUAUAUUAAAUGUACCAAGGUGAAUCUAUCUUUAAAAAUUCGCUACUGCACCGGACUAGGCCUUACUGCGUGUAUCAAAUGACGAUCUUGGUCGAUCUAACUUGUAAGUAGAAACUGACCUUAAGACAUUAAUCGAAUACAAAUCAUUAAAUUAUCAUUAAUACCAAUCCACAGGAUGUAUAUAAAUACGGACGCUCGAGACUAACUGUAAUACUUCACGCAGUCAUUUUUCUCAUGCUUCUCUUGCAGGGUCAAGAAGUCAACGAGCGUAGAAAGAAAUUGGAAAAUGGCACUGGCCAGGAAUUACGACAGCCACGCAACGUACAAAAUGGUAGUAAUAACGCGAAUCGAUAGAAAUCCUCGUGGCACAGUAGCUGUAUCCUCGAAGCAACGUUAAACCGCGACACGUAUGAUUUUCUCACGUGGACCAAAUCUCAUUGCUCAAGAAUGAAAAAGUCCGGUAGACCAGACUAACUGGAUUUCCGAGGAGCUAAGUUAGACGUGGAAAAACGUGCAACAAGUAAAUAUCCAGCCGGACGGGACGCCAAGCCAGGUCCUUGGUGCCCGGGCUCUUAUGAUCUGUGUAAGACAUCGCCGUCUUAUAUGCAGUGGGAGUCGCGUGUACCGUUACUAUGGUUGGUUAGGUUGGUGGAUGCUGGGAGUACGAAGGGCUCGCAUGCAGAACUUGUUGCAUCCCUCGAGGCAAGAGCCGUGCAUGUCAAGGCGUCAUUAAUCAACGUUAUAUUUCAGCUGUUUUCCAAGCAGUCGAGACAUUCACGAGCAGUCGGGUCCCAGGACGCAAGUGAGCCAUUGUAAUCGCGUUAGCAAGUACUCGCUGCAACAUCAUCAUUUCACGUAGGAUUUACGAAUCUCCAGCUCUUCUCCAGGUCUCCUACCUGAAGGAACUUCAACGAAAUCGACUCUUCCUCCUGGGUAUAUAUCCCGGUUGAAAUAACUUUCCUCUUCUCUGAUCCCAAUGGACUUUAUCCCAUAAGUCAGAGUCCUGUGAUAUCAUUGUAGCGU